Molecule: ribosomal RNA, 406 nt
Filed under: uncultured bacterium
Lineage: Bacteria
Description: partial 16S ribosomal RNA
Rfam family: Bacterial small subunit ribosomal RNA
Source: RNAcentral
GAUGAACGCCAGCUACAGGCUUAACACAUGCAAGUCGAGGGACCGGCGCACGGGUGCGUAACACGUAUCCAACCUGCCCUUUACUCGGGGAUAGCCUUUCGAAAGAACGAUUAAUACCCGAUAUAAAGGAUGGGGAUGCGUUCCAUUAGGUUGUUGGUGAGGUAACGGCUAACCAAGCCUUCGAUGGAUAGGGGUUCUGAGAGGAAGGUCACCCAGAUUGGAACUGAGACACGGUCAAAACGCCUAAGGGAGGAAGCAGGGAGGAAGAUUGGUCAAUGGGCGCUGGCCUGAACCAGCCAAGUAGCGUGAAGGAUGAAGGCUUAUGGGUCGUAAACUUCUUUUAUAUAAGAAUAUGUAUUAUAUGAAUAAGGAUCGGCUAACUCCGUGCCAGCCGCCGCGGUAAUUC